GUAGCUGUGGCUGAGCUGUAAAGCGCCUGGCUUCCAUACAGAGGGUUCUGGGUUCAAAUCCUGGUGAAGACU
Molecule: transfer RNA, 72 nt
Filed under: Biomphalaria glabrata
Lineage: Eukaryota; Metazoa; Mollusca; Gastropoda; Planorbidae
Rfam family: tRNA
About the family: Transfer RNA (tRNA) molecules are approximately 80 nucleotides in length. Their secondary structure includes four short double-helical elements and three loops (D, anti-codon, and T loops).
Source: Rfam by way of RNAcentral